This 292-nucleotide long non-coding RNA is filed under the name Elaeis guineensis (African oil palm). RNAcentral's name for it is "long non-coding RNA (EGUI_LNC005143)". Lineage: Eukaryota; Viridiplantae; Streptophyta; Magnoliopsida; Arecales; Arecaceae. The record is from RNAcentral.
UCUGUCGGUAUAUCCCAACAAGUAGAAUAGAUGAUAUUGCCACUGAGAAGCCAAGCUGGCUCAAAUCGUUAAGCUGGAGUCGGGGGAGAAAAAAUAAAUGAUGGCCAUUAGAUGUCGAUCGAAAUCUUCGAAUCAGAUGCCAGAUUUUUGAUUAAUUUUUCAACUCAGAUCCUAUGGCCAUUAAAAACAGAAAAGUGCUUACACGGGGUUUCCUUUGGUAGGCCCUCAAUGCCUACAGAAAAUGUUUGAGUUUUUAAAAAGAGAAUUCAAGAUGUCGAAUGUGGAGUAUGGU